GUGCCAGCCGCCGCGGUAAUACCGGCAGCCCGAGUGAUGGCCGAUCUUAUUGGGCCUAAAGCGUCCGUAGCUGGGUCUGAAAGUCCAUCGGGAAAUCCACCCGCCCAACGGGUGGCCGUCCGGUGGAAACUGUACGGCUUGGGACCGGAAGGCGCGACGGGUACGUCCAGGGUAGGAGUGAAAUCCCGUAAUCCUGGACGGACCGCCGAUGGCGAAAGCACGUCGCGAGAACGGAUCCGACAGUGAGGGACGAAAGCUAGGGUCUCGAACCGGAUUAGAUACCCCUGUAGUCC
RNAcentral lists this ribosomal RNA (293 nucleotides) under uncultured bacterium. RNAcentral's name for it is "partial 16S ribosomal RNA". It matches the Rfam family "Archaeal small subunit ribosomal RNA", at positions 455 to 747 of the family's 1478-position model. The record is from RNAcentral.